This 1134-nucleotide ribosomal RNA is filed under the name Triticum aestivum (bread wheat). RNAcentral describes it as "partial small subunit ribosomal RNA". Lineage: Eukaryota; Viridiplantae; Streptophyta; Magnoliopsida; Poales; Poaceae. The record is from RNAcentral.
AUGCCGACCGAGCUGAAGCGCGCUGCGGAGGAUGGUGAUGAUUCCACUCCCACCCGUCUUCGCCGGAAAAUCGUAGUUCCAGAAAAGCCGGUCUAUCUGGUGGUGGAGCACAAGGCGGAGCCAGCGUACUCCAUCCUCAGUGUUGGCACAAUGGCGCCUAAGAUCCCGCUGCACCUCAGCCAACGCGGCAUGUCGUUCACUGCCAUGGAGUCGCCGCAGGGGUCCUGGAUCGUUGGCGUGGGCGGGGACAAGCAGAUUCACACCACCAUCUUCGAUGUCACCGCCUCCAAGGAGUGGCAGGGUCCGUGGCUCCAUACCAAUAAGAUGGAGCCCAUCCUGAUUCCACACCGCGGCCAGCUCUACGUGCUCUCCAGCCGCCCCUCCGUGAAGAGGGGGGCGAUGGGGCUCGACUACCUUCCCUGGUUCGAGCAGAUUAACUUCGAGGACGGCCGCCCUAACCAAGCCGAGGUUUGCCUAGAACUCGAGCCGCCGCCCAUCUUUCCGUGCCGCAUCACCCCGCCUGAGUACAGGAACCCGCCGGCUAUACGCGUUGCCUCUUACGCCAUGGUUGGCUCCCAUAUUUUGCUCUCCGUGCAACUGGACAAUGUGACCAGCCCCGACAAGGUUGCCAGGAAAUACAGGAAAUACAUGGGAACCUGCGGGUACGACGUGGAGAAGAAGGUGUGGGAGAUGGUGCAUGAGAUGAAUCUUCCUUUCCUUGGCCAGGCGGUGCCCCUCGGCGACCAACUCUUUCUUGCCCGCUCCAAAGAGAGGGACGGCGCUUAUGCAGUGUACUGCAUGCAUGUCGGUCAGUCAACAUCUGGGACCAGCGAGCUGUCCAUUAUUGAGGUUCCGCUGGUGGUGCCAAAGUCCCGACCUAUUCUGGGGGAACUUCUCUUCCCUUUGGGAAGGGGACGGUUCUCUUCUGUUCACUUUCGAUCUGUCGAUACUGAACCGGAGUCCAAGUUGGGCAAACCAAGUGUUGUACAUGGCACCUACUCUAUUGUGAAAGAAAAUUUCGAUGAUGCUAUAAUAAUGAAGCAGCAGCGGCAAGUUUACAAAGUAGCUGAUCGGUCGUGUCCAUUGGCUCAUCCUUUCCCUGUGGUUGCUGCUUUCACAAUGGGCGAUGCAUAG